AACUUCCGAUAAAGGAGAUCUCGAUUCACGCAUUGAUGAAGAGUGCAACGAGUUACGAUACUUGGUGUGAACUCACCAUCAAUUCUCUAAACGCAAGUUUCGUCCGAAGCUAUUAGGUUGAGGGCAUGUUUGCCUGGGCGUCA
This 143-nucleotide ribosomal RNA is filed under the name Malus domestica (apple). RNAcentral's name for it is "rRNA MD11G0244200". It matches the Rfam family "5.8S ribosomal RNA". From Rfam's summary of the family: 5.8S ribosomal RNA (5.8S rRNA) is a component of the large subunit of the eukaryotic ribosome. Lineage: Eukaryota; Viridiplantae; Streptophyta; Magnoliopsida; Rosales; Rosaceae. The record is from RNAcentral.